Long non-coding RNA from Lemur catta (Ring-tailed lemur), 1411 nucleotides. RefSeq lists it as uncharacterized. The transcript has 5 exons. NCBI's taxonomy places the organism in Eukaryota, Metazoa, Chordata, Mammalia, Primates, Lemuridae. The record is from RefSeq and is a predicted model, not a curated record.
CCAAGUGUUCCAUGACAACUGCCAAAUGGGCAGCCUCCUUUCAGAUUUGAUUAUCCUAAGUGCCUACAUUGGGCAAGUGUGUGAGUACUUCAUCCUUCAAGGUAGAUCCCUUUCUCUCUGUCUCUGUUCUGUCUCUGUCUCUUUCUCUCUCUCUCUCUCUCCUCCCCUGUCCCAUCCCAAGGCUGCCCUGAACAUGUUGGUCCUGUGCUACCCACUAGCCUGUGGAGAGAAUGGCAUCCUAUAGACAGUCAUCCGCUCCCACUGGAUGCAGGUGAAGGGCCACGUCAGCUCCCCUGUGCCACCGCACUGUGAGGAAGCCCAAGCCGCCCAGCAGAGAGGCAUGUUUGGAGAGGAAGCAACAUGCAGCACCAACUCAAAAGCCACUUAAGUGAGUCAUCUUGGAAGUGGCUCCUCCAGCCACAGCUGAUACUGCAUGGAACAGAGACAAGCUGUCCCCACUGAGCUCUGCAUAUUUUGCAGACAGCUGCUAUUUCGUAGGACACUCAACCCUAUGAAGAGGUCCACAGGGUAAGGACCUGAGGCUUCCUGCCAACAACCAUGGUGAGCCUGAAAAGCCCCGGGCACAUCAGAGGCUGAUGCUGGCAGUGGACACGCCGUCAGAGAGCACCGAGGAGGGCAACUGUUUGAAAACUCUACAGAAACAUGGAGAAUGUUCAUAAAUGGCCCUGUGAAGGCUUCUGGUCACAGGAUUAUGUGAGCACCGCAGCUACCCCAGGAGUGGUGAGUGUUCACCACACCCAAUUCCCUUUCUGGACACACAAGAAGAUGACAUUUUUCAGGCUCCCUGCAGUUAAACUGAGGUCCAGUGACAGAGUUUUGGACAGUAAAUAUGGGCAGAAGAGACAUACCCCACCUCCUGGCCCUGCCCUUAAAAGCAUCCCACCUGGUUCACUGGCCGCCUCCUCUCAUUUACCAAACUUGGAAACCACGCGUUCCAGAUGGUGUAAUUUAUAGCAUGAUGGAAAAAGCUGGAUCUCCAAGGAAAUCUGGCCAAUCUGCACUGGAGUACAUUUUUAUGGCAUGAAGCCAAUGAGACUUGAACAUUAGCAGAAGCAUGUGUGGUUUAACUCAAUGGUUUUCAAAGCAUGGUCCUUUCGGAGUAUCCACAAAGUCUACAUUAGUUUCACAAUAAUACUAAGGUGUUAUUUGUCUUUCAUGAGUGUUCCAUGGGGUUUUCCAGAGGCUACAUAACAUAUGUUGAAACAGGUUGAAAGAGGAAGGAGAUAUGAGAAUCCGCUCUUCUAUUAAGCCAGACAUUAAGGAGAUUUGCAAAACUACAAAACAAUGACACUCUUCUCACCUUCUUUUUGCUUUGGAAAAAUGUAGUUACUCUUCAUUAAAAAGAUAUUAUUUGUGUUAGCAUGUAAUGGGUUUAUGAUGUAAUUUUAAA